CGGCGGACGGGUGAGUAAUGCCUAGGAAUCUGCCUGGUAGUGGGGGAUAACGUUCGGAAACGGACGCUAAUACCGCAUACGUCCUACGGGAGAAAGCAGGGGACCUUCGGGCCUUGCGCUAUCAGAUGAGCCUAGGUCGGAUUAGCUAGUUGGUGAGGUAAUGGCUCACCAAGGCGACGAUCCGUAACUGGUCUGAGAGGAUGAUCAGUCACACUGGAACUGAGACACGGUCCAGACUCCUACGGGAGGCAGCAGUGGGGAAUAUUGGACAAUGGGCGAAAGCCUGAUCCAGCCAUGCCGCGUGUGUGAAGAAGGUCUUCGGAUUGUAAAGCACUUUAAGUUGGGAGGAAGGGUUGUAGAUUAAUACUCUGCAAUUUUGACGUUACCGACAGAAUAAGCACCGGCUAACUCUGUGCCAGCAGCCGCGGUAAUACAGAGGGUGCAAGCGUUAAUCGGAAUUACUGGGCGUAAAGCGCGCGUAGGUGGUUUGUUAAGUUGGAUGUGAAAUCCCCGGGCUCAACCUGGGAACUGCAUUCAAAACUGACUGACUAGAGUAUGGUAGAGGGUGGUGGAAUUUCCUGUGUAGCGGUGAAAUGCGUA
Molecule: ribosomal RNA, 600 nt
Filed under: Pseudomonas fluorescens
Lineage: Bacteria; Pseudomonadati; Pseudomonadota; Gammaproteobacteria; Pseudomonadales; Pseudomonadaceae
Description: bacterial SSU rRNA
Rfam family: Bacterial small subunit ribosomal RNA
Source: RNAcentral